RNAcentral lists this non-coding RNA (282 nucleotides) under Firmicutes bacterium CAG:194. Its description in RNAcentral is "Bacterial large subunit ribosomal RNA". It matches the Rfam family "Bacterial large subunit ribosomal RNA", at positions 1 to 283 of the family's 2925-position model. The record is from Rfam by way of RNAcentral. Lineage: Bacteria; Bacillati; Bacillota.
GGUUAAGCUGAUAAGAGCGCAGGGUGGAUGCCUUGGCACUAAGAGCCGACGAAAGACGUGAUAAGCUGCGAAAAGCUGUGGGGAGGAGCAAAUAUCCCUUGAUCCACAGAUAUCUGAAUGGGGAAACCCGGCUGAGGAAACCUCAGUCACCGUUAACUGAAUCCAUAGGUUAACGGAGGGAACCCGGUGAACUGAAACAUCUAAGUAGCCGGAGGAAGAGAAAGAAACAUCGAUUUUGUGAGUAGCGGCGAGCGAAAGCGAAAGAGCCCAAACCGGGUUGCG